This 208-nucleotide ribosomal RNA is filed under the name uncultured bacterium. Its description in RNAcentral is "partial 16S ribosomal RNA". It matches the Rfam family "Bacterial small subunit ribosomal RNA", at positions 568 to 775 of the family's 1533-position model. The record is from RNAcentral.
CGCGUAGGCGGUCCUUCAAGUCCCGCGUGAAAUCCCCCGGCUCAACUGGGGAACUGCGCGGGAAACUGUAGGGCUUGAGUUCGGGAGAGGGAAGCGGAAUUCCGGGUGUAGCGGUGAAAUGCGUAGAUAUCCGGAGGAACACCGGUGGCGAAGGCGGCUUCCUGGACCGACACUGACGCUGAGGCGCGAAAGCUAGGGGAGCAAACGG